UACGUAGGGGGCAAGCGUUGUCCGGAUUUAUUGGGCGUAAAGCGCGUGUAGGCGGCCAGGUAGGUCCGCUGUGAAAACUCGAGGCUCAACCUCGAGAUGUCGGCGGAAACCGUCUGGCUAGAGUCCGGAAGAGGAGAGUGGAAUUCCUGGUGUAGCGGUGAAAUGCGCAGAUAUCAGGAAGAACACCUAUGGCGAAGGCAGCUCUCUGGGACGGUACUGACGCUGAGACGCGAAAGCGUGGGGAGCGAACAGG
RNAcentral lists this ribosomal RNA (253 nucleotides) under uncultured bacterium. RNAcentral's name for it is "partial 16S ribosomal RNA". It matches the Rfam family "Bacterial small subunit ribosomal RNA", at positions 524 to 776 of the family's 1533-position model. The record is from RNAcentral.